GAGAGAGACAUGCGCGCAUAUCAAUAAGCGGAGGAAAAGAAACUAACAAGGAUUCCCUUAGUAACGGCGAGUGAAGCGGGAAGAGCUCAAAUUUGAAAUCUUCAAGGUUUUACCUUGACGAAUUGUAGUUUAAAGAAGUGUUUUCUGCUGAAGUUUUGGUAAAAGUUCUUUGGAAUAGGACAUCAUAGAGGGUGAGAAUCCCGUAUUUGACCAUUAUUUUCAGCUUUGUGAUACACUUUCAAAGAGUCGGAUUGUUUGGGAAUGCAGUCCAAAAUGGGUGGUAAAUUUCAUCUAAAGCUAAAUAUUGGCGAGAGACCGAUAGCGAACAAGUACCGUGAGGGAAAGAUGAAAAGAACUUUGAAAAGAGAGUUAAACAGUACGUGAAAUUGUCAAAAGGGAAGCGUUUGACACCAGUGUUGUUUUCUCGAAAAUCAAUUAAAAAUGGCUCGAUUUUGUAUUGUUGAGACCUUAAAAGCUCACUGUACAUUUUUCGUGUCUUUUUUAAUGCACUUUUCGUUUAACAAGUCAACAUCAGGUUUCUUUUGUUGUAAAAGGGUCAUUGGAAGGUGGCUUUCUUUUCGGAGAAAGUGUUUAUAGCCUUUGGCCUCUGCAAUCGAAGAGACUGAGGUCUGCAGCGUAGACUCUUCGGGGUUAGAUACAUUUGUGCUAAGUUAUAGCUUUUUAUAGACAACUUGUUGACUAUAAUUAGUCUUGUAGCUUACUCGCUUAUGCUAUUUUACCUACGCUUAGGAUGUUGAGUCGUAGAGCACGCAG
Molecule: ribosomal RNA, 774 nt
Filed under: uncultured Neocallimastigales
Lineage: Eukaryota; Fungi; Neocallimastigomycota; Neocallimastigomycetes; Neocallimastigales
Description: partial large subunit ribosomal RNA
Rfam family: Eukaryotic large subunit ribosomal RNA
Source: RNAcentral